ACUCUCAGCUGCUCUGUAAUGCAAGUCGACAGGAAAAUCUACAAGGGCUUCACGGUCUUCUUUCUAGAAAAAUCCCAACAAGGGUUUGAUAGUAAAAAGUACUUCGUAGUCAUUUUCAAAUAGGGGAGAAUUUCCUGAAGUAUGCAGCAUCUGCUCUGCCGGGUUUGCAAUCUGUGCACAGGUAUUGCAGUUAAUGAGCCACCGGCUUGCCGCUUCCAGGGCCAGGCUGGAGCAGUCAGCUGGUGGAAUGAUGGGAACUGCAAUCGGCAGCUCUGCACCAACGUGCCCCGGGUUGGAAAAUGUGAUUUGUGACAGAGAAGCUUGGGAAUAAUAAUGAAAACAUAAUUGCUCCAGAAGAGGCAGAGGAUGUUGACACAAACUUACAGACUGGGACUCCAAGGAUCAGCCAGAUGAAAUGCUAUGUGCAGAGUCUUCAUUUCCCAGCUCAGUGGUGGACAGCAGAGGACUCUAAGAGACCAGGAACUGCAUUUGGAUUUAAAGAAACAAAACUUUCUGGCACCUACUGUGAUCCAGCCACCUCUUGGGAUGCACACGUUUCUCUUCAACUGCGUGAUGUGAACUGCGUCACAUGGUCAAAUUAUAAUGAAGAAAGGAACCUCUCUUGAGUACAAAGAGCUACCUAUGGUGGUCUGGAGCCGGAGGACCACAGCAUCAAAGGAUAUAAGAUGCAUAGCCAACUGAGGAACCUGAGCAAUUAAAGAGAUCCACAGUUAAGUCACACUUAACUGGCACUUGUGGAAGCCCCGCAAGGCCUGAAGGAGAGCUGACAUAGGCACCCCAGAGAGCCAGAAUCUGGAUCCCAUCUUAAUAAGGCCAUGAACACCAGUGGAGAAGAGGCAGAAACACCAAUGGAUAAGGAACAUUCACAUCUUUCUUCCCAUGUGCCUCUAAGUGCCAGUGCAGGCCCCACAGGCCAAGCUACAGGGAGAAAGGAGAUGACGCAAAGGAACCUAACUGGACUUUAAUCACUAGAAGUGAGAAGAGAAAUCUAUUGGAACCUCCCAAGAUAAUGCCAAGGGUCAAAGGGUGCGCAGAUACAUAAGAGGUGCUUAUUUAGCAAAUUCAACCUUAAACCUGAGUGCAUGGAAACUAUUGAUGCAGUGUCCAAGGUGGAGAAAGGUCAGAGUGGAUCCAGAGGAGCCAAGAGAAGACGUCCAGCAUGGUGACCUGGGCUCAAGUCAAGGUCCUUAUUUCUCUGAUUUCUGUUCAGAAAACACAUCUUCAGGAAAAUCACCCCUGACUCACCCAGGCUAAGUCACAAGCUUUUGUUAUAAGGUCUCAUCACACCAUAUGCCUCUCUUUCAAAACCAGCACCUGCAGAAAUGUAAGUGUACAUUGAUUUAUGUAAGUAUUUGAAUUAUGACUGUUUUUGUAUAUGUCCAUGAGCUCCCUGAAGGCAAGUACUUUGUCUGCUUCCGCCUGUUUCAUAACUAUCAUGCCUAACACACAAUAACCUCUCAAUUAAUAGCCAAGUUUAUUAGCAAAAAAAAUUGACUGAAAAAGUGAAUGAACGAAAA
Homo sapiens (human) is the source of this 1538-nucleotide long non-coding RNA. Ensembl annotates it as prostate cancer associated transcript 1. Its record names the gene PCAT1. The record is from Ensembl. NCBI's taxonomy places the organism in Eukaryota, Metazoa, Chordata, Mammalia, Primates, Hominidae.